AAUGUGAAGGUAACUUGGCUGUGAUAUCUGUCCCCUUAAUGAUCACCAGAGUUCUUUUCCCUGAUAUGGUUGGUGAACAGGUUGUCCCUUUUCUCCCUCACCAUUU
This 106-nucleotide small nuclear RNA is filed under the name Cavia porcellus (domestic guinea pig). RNAcentral describes it as "7SK RNA". It matches the Rfam family "7SK RNA", at positions 2 to 107 of the family's 331-position model. From Rfam's summary of the family: 7SK was discovered as an abundant small nuclear RNA in the mid-70s but a possible function has only recently been suggested. Two independent studies have found that 7SK RNA binds the CDK9/cyclin T complex (known as elongation factor P-TEFb). The record is from Rfam by way of RNAcentral. Lineage: Eukaryota; Metazoa; Chordata; Mammalia; Rodentia; Caviidae.